RNAcentral lists this ribosomal RNA (465 nucleotides) under Acinetobacter sp. oral taxon C51. Its description in RNAcentral is "bacterial SSU rRNA". It matches the Rfam family "Bacterial small subunit ribosomal RNA", at positions 30 to 488 of the family's 1533-position model. Lineage: Bacteria; Pseudomonadati; Pseudomonadota; Gammaproteobacteria; Moraxellales; Moraxellaceae. The record is from RNAcentral.
AUUGAACGCUGGCGGCAGGCUUAACACAUGCAAGUCGAGCGGAGCGAGGGUGCUUGCACCUUAGCUUAGCGGCGGACGGGUGAGUAAUGCUUAGGAAUCUGCCUAUUAGUGGGGGACAACAUUCCGAAAGGGAUGCUAAUACCGCAUACGCCCUACGGGGGAAAGCAGGGGAUCUUCGGACCUUGCGCUAAUAGAUGAGCCUAAGUCGGAUUAGCUAGUUGGUGGGGUAAAGGCCUACCAAGGCGACGAUCUGUAGCGGGUCUGAGAGGAUGAUCCGCCACACUGGGACUGAGACACGGCCCAGACUCCUACGGGAGGCAGCAGUGGGGAAUAUUGGACAAUGGGGGGAACCCUGAUCCAGCCAUGCCGCGUGUGUGAAGAAGGCCUUUUGGUUGUAAAGCACUUUAAGCGAGGAGGAGGCGCUCUAGGAUAAUACCCUAGAUGCGUGGACGUACUCGCAGAUAG